RNAcentral lists this ribosomal RNA (1072 nucleotides) under hot springs metagenome. RNAcentral's name for it is "bacterial LSU rRNA". It matches the Rfam family "Bacterial large subunit ribosomal RNA", at positions 1405 to 2562 of the family's 2925-position model. The record is from RNAcentral.
AAAGGCGUAGACGAUGGAAAGCAGGUUAAUAUUCCUGCGCCUAUUGUGGGGGACGUUGGACGAAUAGAGAUCGGGGAGUUGGUUUUCCCCGUACCGCAAGGUCGAGCCCCUGGUUGGUGAAGUCUCUUGAAGUACAACCAAGAAAAGCCCACAUAAUAUGACCGUACUAAAACUGACACAGGUAGGCGAGGCGCGUAGCCUCAGGCGCUCGGGAGAACGCUGGUUAAGGAACUCUGCAAAUUGGCCCCGUAACUUCGGGAUAAGGGGUGCCAUCGCAAGAUGGUCUCAGCAAAGCGGCACUAGCGACUGUUUACUAAAAACACAGGUCUCUGCGAACUCGUAAGAGGAGGUAUAGAGACUGACGCCUGCCCGGUACCGGUAAGUUAAUAAAGACGGUUAGCUUUCGGGCGAAGCCGGCAAUUGAAGCUCCGGUAAACGGCGGCCGUAACUAUGACGGUCCUAAGGUAGCGAAAUUCCUUGUCGGGUAAGUUCCGACCUGCAUGAAUGGCGUAACGACUGGUGCACUGUCUCAAUCAGCGACCCGGUGAAAUUGUAGCCGUGGUGAAGAUGCCACGUACCCGCAGCGUGACGGAAAGACCCCAUGAACCUUUACUGCAGGCUGAUACUGUCACUUGGCAUGUUUUGUGUAGGAUAGGUGGGAGGCUUUGAAGUCGGUACGCCAGUAUCGAUGGAGCCAUCCUUGAAAUACCACCCUGAACCUGUUAGGUGUCUAACGCUGACCCGUGAACCCGGGCGGCGAACACUGUCAGUUGGGCAGUUUGACUGGGGCGGUCUCCUCCCAAAGAGUAACGGAGGAGCUCAAAGGUACCCUCAGCCUGGUUGGCAAUCAGGCGAAGAGCGUAAAGGUAGAAGGGUGCUUGACUGCGAGACAAAUGAGUCGAGCAGAAACGAAAGUUGGACUUAGUGAUCCGGCGGUUCCGAAUGGAAGGGCCGUCGCUCAACGGAUAAAAGGUACUCUGGGGAUAACAGGCUGAUCCCGCCCGAGCGUCCAUAGCGGCGGCGGGGUUUGGCACCUCGAUGUCGGCUCAUCACAUCCUGGGGGUGAAGAAGC